Long non-coding RNA from Pristis pectinata (smalltooth sawfish), 527 nucleotides. RefSeq lists it as uncharacterized. The record is from RefSeq and is a predicted model, not a curated record. Lineage: Eukaryota; Metazoa; Chordata; Chondrichthyes; Rhinopristiformes; Pristidae. The transcript has 3 exons.
CAGAAUGUGAACUUACUGCAAUUCCCCAACCCGUUCUGUGGGGGACCUGCACAGGAACAAUAAGUCCAUUCAUUUGAAUGGAGAGGAACUACUGUCAGGAAUAAGGGCAAGCACAAGAUAAUCUACACUUCCUUGGUGGAACAUGCUCUGGCCCACGUCACAUUGUGAAAAGCCUUGCUGUUGCACACGGAUGUGCGGUGUUGCAUUGAUUAGUUUCAGGCACCAGUGGAUCUGGAAAGGGCACUAGAUAUCUGACAUAGAAGGGAAGUGGAUUGUCACCACCCACGCUGACAGCCUCCAAUGCAAGUGAACCCGUGGGCACCGUCAUAAGAUCAGUCUUCCAGAGAGUGAACCCAAGGAAAGCAUCUGGCCCGGAUGGUGUCCCUGGCCAUGUGCUCAGAUCUUGUGUUGAUCAGCUGGCGGGAGUAUUUGCAGACAUGUUUAACCUCUCCCUGCUUCAAUCUGAGGUUCCCACCUGUUUUAAGAAGACCACUAUCAUCCCGGUACCUAAGAAAAACAAGGUAACA